AGCACUCCUACGGGAGGCAGCAGUGGGGAAUAUUGCACAAUGGGGCGCAAGCCUGAUGCAGCCAUGCCGCGUGUAUGAAGAAGGCCUUCGGGUUGUAAAGGUACUUUUCAGCAGUGAGGAAGGUGGGAUAUGUUAAUAGCAUAUUCAUUUGACGUUAGCUGCAGAAGAAGCACCGGCUAACUCCGUGCCAGCAGCCGCGGUAAUACGGAGGGUGCGAGCGUUAAUCGGAAUUACUGGGCGUAAAGCGCAUGCAGGUGGUUUGUUAAGUCAGAUGUGAAAGCCCGGGGCUCAACCUCGGAAUUGCAUUUGAAACUGGCAAACUAGAGUACUGUAGAGGGGGUAGAAUUUCAGGUGUAGCGGUGAAAUGCGUAGAGAUCUGAAGGAAUACCGGUGGCGAAGGCGGCCCCCUGGACAGAUACUGACACUCAGAUGCGAAAGCGUGGGGAGCAAACAGGAUUAGAUACCCUGGUAG
RNAcentral lists this ribosomal RNA (472 nucleotides) under uncultured bacterium. Its description in RNAcentral is "bacterial SSU rRNA". It matches the Rfam family "Bacterial small subunit ribosomal RNA", at positions 332 to 793 of the family's 1533-position model. The record is from RNAcentral.